UGGCUAUCCCGAUGCGUGCUACGUAGUGUAGCUAAAGUGCAUUGCUGCCGCUGAGGAUGAGCUGCGUCCUAUAGUAGUGGUGAGGUAUGGCUACCAAGGCGAUGAUAGUAGCGGCUUAACGGGUGGUCGCCCACACUGGGAUGAGAUACGGCCCAGACUCCUACGAGAGGCAGCAGUCGAGAAUAGUCUACAAUGGUCGAAAGACUGAUAGUGCGACGCCGCGUGAACGAAGACUCCUUUCGGGGUGUAAAGUUCUUUUAUAUGUGAGCAGUGGAUGUUACAUUAAUAGUGUGAUAUCAGGGAUAUUAGCAUAUGAAUAAGCAACGGCUAACUCCGUGCCAGCAGCCGCGGUAACACGGGGGUUCGGAGCGUUGUCCGGAAUUACUAGGCGUAAAGGGCAGGUAGGCGGAGAUGUAAGUUUGAUGUUAAAGGUACUGGCUCACCCAGUGUACGGCAUCAGAUACUGCAUUUCUUGAAUACGGUUGGGGAAGACAGAAUUCCUGGUGUAGCGGUGGAAUGCGCAGAGAUCAGGAGGAAUACCGAAGGCGAAGGCAGUCUUCUAAGCCGGUUAUUGACGCUAAACUGCGAAGGUGUGGGAUCAAACAGG
RNAcentral lists this ribosomal RNA (607 nucleotides) under uncultured prokaryote. Its description in RNAcentral is "bacterial SSU rRNA". It matches the Rfam family "Bacterial small subunit ribosomal RNA", at positions 161 to 776 of the family's 1533-position model. The record is from RNAcentral.